Molecule: non-coding RNA, 111 nt
Organism: Caerostris darwini
Lineage: Eukaryota; Metazoa; Arthropoda; Arachnida; Araneae; Araneidae
Source: the annotation of a GenBank genome assembly
ACGGGCAUACCAUGCUGAAUAUACCGGUUCUCGUUAGAUCACCGAAGUCAAGCAUCAUUGGGCACGGUCAGUACUUGGGUGGGUGACCACCUGGGAACACCGCGUGCCGUU